GUAAUGGAAAACAAUCCUGGAAUUCUAAUAAUCGUCCCCAAUGUCAGUUGUGUGGAAAGAUCGGUCAUGUAGUUAUACAGUGUUGGUAUCGUUUUGAUGAGAAUUUUGUUCCACAAACUCAAUCUAACUCCACCAGCAAUCCUGGAAAUCCUAUGGCUGCAAUGCUUGCUACUCCUCAAUCGGUUUAUGAUACCAACUGGUAUCCUGACUCGGGAGCAACAAACCAUGUUACACCAACAAUCAGCAACCUGAUGACAUGCAUGGAUUACACUGGAAAUGAUCAAAUCCACAUGGGAAAUGGAACAGGUCAGCAAGGCAAUCCUAAUGGAAGGGAGAGUUAAGGAUGGUCUCUAUAUUUUUGAUCCACCACAGUUCACUCCAAAUAUCCUACAGCAACCUUCAAGAAGUCAAGAGUCUCAAGGAUCUUUUCUGUCAAAGUCUGUUAAUCAAUCUUGUUCAAUAAAUUCUGAGCUUGUAAACUCAAAAAUAUCCCUUUGUAAUCUGUGGCAUGACAGAUUGGGUCAUCCUUCCUUUCAAGUUGUACAAACAGUUAUGUCUAGUUGUAAUCUGCCUUCUGUCAACAAAACAAAUUUUGAUUUU
Molecule: long non-coding RNA, 600 nt
Organism: Vitis riparia (riverbank grape)
Lineage: Eukaryota; Viridiplantae; Streptophyta; Magnoliopsida; Vitales; Vitaceae
Exons: 2
Source: RefSeq, a predicted model, not a curated record